UCUCCGUAGGUGAACCUGCGGAGGGAUCAUUACAGAGUUCAUGCCCUACCGGGUAGAUCUCCCACCCUAUGUUAUUAUUACUUAGUUGCUUUGGCGGGCCGUUAGGCUCCGGCCCGACUACCGGCCCCGGCUGGUAAGCGCCCGCCAGAGGACCCAAAACCCUGAAUAUUAGUGUCGUCUGAGUACUAUAUAAUAGUCAAAACUUUCAACAACGGAUCUCUUGGUUCUG
This 229-nucleotide unclassified non-coding RNA is filed under the name plant metagenome. RNAcentral describes it as "partial contains small subunit ribosomal RNA, internal transcribed spacer 1, and 5.8S ribosomal RNA". The record is from RNAcentral.